This 450-nucleotide ribosomal RNA is filed under the name uncultured bacterium. Its description in RNAcentral is "partial 16S ribosomal RNA". It matches the Rfam family "Bacterial small subunit ribosomal RNA", at positions 354 to 796 of the family's 1533-position model. The record is from RNAcentral.
GUGGGGAAUCUUCCGCAAUGGACGAAAGUCUGACGGAGCAACGCCGCGUGAGUGAAGAAGGUCUUCGGAUCGUAAAGCUCUGUUGUACGGGACGAAUGUUGGAGGCGUGAAUAAUGCCAUCAAAUGACGGUACUGUACGAGGAAGCCACGGCUAACUACGUGCCAGCAGCCGCGGUAAUACGUAGGUGGCGAGCGUUGUCCGGAAUUAUUGGGCGUAAAGGGAGCGCAGGUGGGAAGGUAAGUCUGUUUUAAAAGCGUCGGGCUCAACCCGAUGAGGGAACAGAAACUAUUUUUCUUGAGUGCAGGAGAGGAAAGCGGAAUUCCUAGUGUAGCGGUGAAAUGCGUAGAUAUUAGGAGGAACACCAGUGGCGAAGGCGGCUUUCUGGACUGUAACUGACACUGAGGCUCGAAAGCCAGGGGAGCGAACGGGAUUAGAAACCCCAGUAGUCC